GUUCCCAGAGCACACUCGUGGGGGCUUCUCACUGCUCCACACCGGGACUCACGCUGUCCACUCAGGCUGUAGUGCCCGCCUUCUGCUCAUCUGCCUGGCAAGGUCUUGUCCACCUGGAGGCAUCCAUGAAGACCAGCUGCUGUAACAAACCCCAAACCUCAGUGCUUUACUUCACCAUUCGGUGCAGAGCACACGUCUUCAGCCAUUCUGCCCCAGAUCCUGCAGGACGGAAUUGGUGAGGAUGGCUCCAUUCAUCCCAGAAAAGCACAUGGGGAAUGUUGGUAUUCAGAGCUGCAUGUUUCAUUUUUAAAUUAGAAACACUUACGUAUGAA
Molecule: long non-coding RNA, 332 nt
Organism: Suricata suricatta (meerkat)
Lineage: Eukaryota; Metazoa; Chordata; Mammalia; Carnivora; Herpestidae
Exons: 2
Source: RefSeq, a predicted model, not a curated record